RNAcentral lists this long non-coding RNA (918 nucleotides) under Eutrema salsugineum. RNAcentral's name for it is "long non-coding RNA (ESAL_LNC001086)". The record is from RNAcentral. Lineage: Eukaryota; Viridiplantae; Streptophyta; Magnoliopsida; Brassicales; Brassicaceae.
UCCCGAACAUCCGGUGACACCACGUGACCACCCGAGCUGCUCGAAUCAUCCUCUUGCAGUGUAGGGUAAGUCGAGCCCGAUGUAUCAAAAGGCGAUGAUGAUUGAUCCGCCAUUGUCGUCGUGGUCCUCGGUUUCUCAUCCGCGGGGUAAUAUUUCUCCAUGGUUCCUUUCUUGUUGUAGAUUCGACAUAAAACCCAAUCAUCAAGCUGUAACAAAAACACACAACAACAAAGUUAGUAAUCUAACUCAUCAUCAUCAAAUUCAGGAAAAGAUGAAAGAAGAAAAAGAAACAGAACAUACUCGUAGGUUGUUCUUUUUGUUUAAAGAAGCUGAUCUAUCGACAUUAGCGAGACGAUACUCGUGCAUAAUCCAAUUGGUUUUGAUCCCUUUUGGAGCUUUCCCAGCGUAGAAGACGAGUGCUUUCUUUAUACCCAAGGUCUUCGGUUUACCGAUUGGUUUAUCUGCUCCGGUCGCUUUCCAAUAACCGGUUCCUGCUGCUCGGUUUGGACGAGAACCGUUUGGGUAUUUCCGGUCUCUGGGUGAGAAGAAGUACCACUCUUUCUCUCCGUACAAAGACAUGUCUGAAAGAAGAACAAAACUCAGAUUAACAACGAUUCUCUGAAAAGAAAACACCUCGAAAAUGGUUAGAAGCCCAUAGAUAUCUACCUGGAAGCUCCCAAGGAUUGAACUUGUAGAGAUCAAUUUCGGCGAUAACCGGAGCUGAGAUCGGCUCCGAUGCGCAUUUCCGGCAUAAGUAGAAUUUCACAAGCUCCUCGUCCGUCGGAUGGAAUCGGAAUCCUGCCGGUAAGUUUAGCUCUGCUUUCAUUCUCAAAGUUCUCGUCUUUUUCUUUUUUGUUGCUCUUCAAAAUUUUCUUCUUCUUCUUUCAAAUUUCACUCGGAUCUGAGUUUCUAUUUUCG